This 253-nucleotide ribosomal RNA is filed under the name uncultured bacterium. Its description in RNAcentral is "partial 16S ribosomal RNA". It matches the Rfam family "Bacterial small subunit ribosomal RNA", at positions 524 to 776 of the family's 1533-position model. The record is from RNAcentral.
UACGUAGGGUGCGAGCGUUAAUCGGAAUUACUGGGCGUAAAGCGUGCGCAGGCGGUUAUAUAAGACAGGGGUGAAAUCCCCGGGCUUAACCUGGGAAUUGCCUUUGUGACUGUAUAGCUGGAGUGCGGCAGAGGGGGAUGGAAUUUCGCGUGUAGCAGUGAAAUGCGUAGAUAUGCGGAGGAACACCGAUGGCGAAGGCAAUCCCCUGGGCCUGCACUGACGCUCAUGCACGAAAGCGUGGGGAGCAAACAGG